This 475-nucleotide ribosomal RNA is filed under the name uncultured bacterium. Its description in RNAcentral is "SSU rRNA". It matches the Rfam family "Bacterial small subunit ribosomal RNA", at positions 26 to 518 of the family's 1533-position model. The record is from RNAcentral.
AGAAUCAACGCUGGCGGCGUGCCUAACACAUGCAAGUCGAACGAGAAAGGGGAGCAAUCCCUGAGUAAAGUGGCGACCGGGUGAGUAACACGUGACUAACCUACCUUCGAAUGGGGGAUAACUCCGGGAAACCGGGGCUAAUACCGCAUAACAUCUCCGGAUCGGAAGAACUGGGGAUCAAAGGAGCAAUUCGUUUGAAGAGGGAGUCGCGGCUGAUUAGCUUGUUGGCGGGGUAAUGGCCCACCAAGGCGAUGAUCGGUAUCCGGCCUGAGAGGGCGCACGGACACACUGGAACUGAAACACGGUCCAGACUCCUACGGGAGGCAGCAGUGGGGAAUUUUGCGCAAUGGGGGAAACCCUGACGCAGCAACGCCGCGUGGAGGAUGAAGUCCCUUGGGACGUAAACUCCUUUCGACCGGGACGAUAAUGACGGUACCGGUGGAAGAAGCCCGGCUAACUUCGCGCCAGCAGCCGC